CCUACGGGUGGCAGCAGUGGGGAAUAUUGCACAAUGGGGGAAACCCUGAUGCAGCAACGCCGCGUGAAGGAAGACGGCUCUCGGAUUGUUAACCUCCGUUUUUAGUGAAGAAUAAUGACGGUAGCUAAGGAGCAAGCCACGGCUAACUACGUGCCAGCAGGCGCGGUAAUACGCAGGAGGCACGCGUUGUCCGGAUUUACUGGGUGUAAAGGGAGCGCAGGCGGGUAGCUAAGUCAGAGGUGAAAAAUACGGGCUUAACUUGGAGACUGCCGUUGAUACUGGUUGUCUUGAGUGAAGUAGAGGUUGGCGGAAUGUGGGGUGUAGCGGUGAAAUGCGUAGAUAUUAGGCAGAACACCGAUUGCGAAGGCAGCCAACUGGGCUAUUACUGACGCUGAGGCUCGAAAGUGUGGGGAGCAAACAGGAUUAGAUACCCCGGUAGUC
RNAcentral lists this ribosomal RNA (441 nucleotides) under uncultured bacterium. Its description in RNAcentral is "partial 16S ribosomal RNA". It matches the Rfam family "Bacterial small subunit ribosomal RNA", at positions 338 to 795 of the family's 1533-position model. The record is from RNAcentral.